Molecule: long non-coding RNA, 333 nt
Organism: Megalops cyprinoides (Indo-Pacific tarpon)
Lineage: Eukaryota; Metazoa; Chordata; Actinopteri; Elopiformes; Megalopidae
Exons: 3
Source: RefSeq, a predicted model, not a curated record
AGCAACUUGAACAGUCGCCAUUUCAGAAGUCAAUUGUUAAAAUGCUGGAGAGCGGUGCGAAUAAUUAGGUCUGCAAGCUUUUCCUCGACUGCUCGCAUAGACCAUAACAAAGCCAGAGGAGCCUGGAGAGGGGGGUGUGGCUUCCAACAUGAAUACUGAAGAAGAGGAGGGGGCGUGGCUUCCAACAUGAAUACUGGAGAAGAAGGAAAGGAGGGAGGCGUGGCCUCUGAAAUGUACCACCCCCUCAGUGGAGCUGUGGACCCACAGAGCAAGAGGUCUGCCAACCAGAAAAUAACAAACGAAAACAACAAAGACAGAAGAAACACAUCUGGG